This 1542-nucleotide ribosomal RNA is filed under the name Salmonella enterica. RNAcentral describes it as "bacterial SSU rRNA". It matches the Rfam family "Bacterial small subunit ribosomal RNA". RNAcentral also lists the same sequence under 1 other name. Lineage: Bacteria; Pseudomonadati; Pseudomonadota; Gammaproteobacteria; Enterobacterales; Enterobacteriaceae. The record is from RNAcentral.
AAAUUGAAGAGUUUGAUCAUGGCUCAGAUUGAACGCUGGCGGCAGGCCUAACACAUGCAAGUCGAACGGUAACAGGAAGCAGCUUGCUGCUUCGCUGACGAGUGGCGGACGGGUGAGUAAUGUCUGGGAAGCUGCCUGAUGGAGGGGGAUAACUACUGGAAACGGUGGCUAAUACCGCAUAACGUCGCAAGACCAAAGAGGGGGACCUUCGGGCCUCUUGCCAUCAGAUGUGCCCAGAUGGGAUUAGCUUGUUGGUGAGGUAACGGCUCACCAAGGCGACGAUCCCUAGCUGGUCUGAGAGGAUGACCAGCCACACUGGAACUGAGACACGGUCCAGACUCCUACGGGAGGCAGCAGUGGGGAAUAUUGCACAAUGGGCGCAAGCCUGAUGCAGCCAUGCCGCGUGUAUGAAGAAGGCCUUCGGGUUGUAAAGUACUUUCAGCGGGGAGGAAGGUGUUGUGGUUAAUAACCGCAGCAAUUGACGUUACCCGCAGAAGAAGCACCGGCUAACUCCGUGCCAGCAGCCGCGGUAAUACGGAGGGUGCAAGCGUUAAUCGGAAUUACUGGGCGUAAAGCGCACGCAGGCGGUCUGUCAAGUCGGAUGUGAAAUCCCCGGGCUCAACCUGGGAACUGCAUUCGAAACUGGCAGGCUUGAGUCUUGUAGAGGGGGGUAGAAUUCCAGGUGUAGCGGUGAAAUGCGUAGAGAUCUGGAGGAAUACCGGUGGCGAAGGCGGCCCCCUGGACAAAGACUGACGCUCAGGUGCGAAAGCGUGGGGAGCAAACAGGAUUAGAUACCCUGGUAGUCCACGCCGUAAACGAUGUCUACUUGGAGGUUGUGCCCUUGAGGCGUGGCUUCCGGAGCUAACGCGUUAAGUAGACCGCCUGGGGAGUACGGCCGCAAGGUUAAAACUCAAAUGAAUUGACGGGGGCCCGCACAAGCGGUGGAGCAUGUGGUUUAAUUCGAUGCAACGCGAAGAACCUUACCUGGUCUUGACAUCCACGGAAGUUUUCAGAGAUGAGAAUGUGCCUUCGGGAACCGUGAGACAGGUGCUGCAUGGCUGUCGUCAGCUCGUGUUGUGAAAUGUUGGGUUAAGUCCCGCAACGAGCGCAACCCUUAUCCUUUGUUGCCAGCGGUCCGGCCGGGAACUCAAAGGAGACUGCCAGUGAUAAACUGGAGGAAGGUGGGGAUGACGUCAAGUCAUCAUGGCCCUUACGACCAGGGCUACACACGUGCUACAAUGGCGCAUACAAAGAGAAGCGACCUCGCGAGAGCAAGCGGACCUCAUAAAGUGCGUCGUAGUCCGGAUUGGAGUCUGCAACUCGACUCCAUGAAGUCGGAAUCGCUAGUAAUCGUGGAUCAGAAUGCCACGGUGAAUACGUUCCCGGGCCUUGUACACACCGCCCGUCACACCAUGGGAGUGGGUUGCAAAAGAAGUAGGUAGCUUAACCUUCGGGAGGGCGCUUACCACUUUGUGAUUCAUGACUGGGGUGAAGUCGUAACAAGGUAACCGUAGGGGAACCUGCGGUUGGAUCACCUCCUUA